GCGCGUCCCUCCUAUAGGGUCUCUAUAUUGUGAAACACUGCCAAACAUUGUGUAAGAGCGUUAAAUGGAAAGCGUAGUUGUCUCAAAAUAACGCUAGAAUGCAUUUUUAUCGCUCUUAAUAUUUAUCUAAAUCUAAUUUAUAAACAUAUCCUUCCAAUAAGUUGAAUUACUUUGACAAUUUGCAGGUCAAUAAAUAAUUGUUUUGUAAUAAUAAUAAUUUUGUUUAAUAAUAAUUAUUUGAACCAACUAUUAUUUCAAAAUAGAAGAAAAUAGAGUUAUUUUCACUCCGGUUCUUACUCUACCUGUUUUCUAACACUCUGACAUGGCCUUACAAAUUCAGGUAUAUCUCCGAAAAUAUUUAUCGGAUUAGCCUCAAAUUUUCAGAGAAUAUACUUAAAUAUAUGUACAUUCC
Polistes dominula (European paper wasp) is the source of this 412-nucleotide long non-coding RNA. RefSeq lists it as uncharacterized. NCBI's taxonomy places the organism in Eukaryota, Metazoa, Arthropoda, Insecta, Hymenoptera, Vespidae. The record is from RefSeq and is a predicted model, not a curated record.